This 624-nucleotide ribosomal RNA is filed under the name uncultured bacterium. RNAcentral's name for it is "bacterial SSU rRNA". It matches the Rfam family "Bacterial small subunit ribosomal RNA", at positions 13 to 635 of the family's 1533-position model. The record is from RNAcentral.
UUGAUCAUGGCUCAGAAUGAACGCUGGCGGCUGUGCUUUACACAUGCAAGUUGAGCGAGGCGGGGUAGCAAUACCCCAGUCGAGCGGCGAACGGGUGAGUAACGCGUGGGUAACCUACCUCUGGGUGUGGAAUAACUCGGGGAAACUCGAGCUAAUACCGCAUAACAUUCAAGGAUCAAAGGGGGCGCAAGCUCCCGCCUGGAGAGGGGCCCGCGUUCGAUUAGCUAGUUGGUAGGGUAAUGGCCUACAAAGGCGACGAUCGAUAGCCGGCCUGAGAGGGUGAUCGGCCACACUGGAACUGAGACACGGUCCAGACUCCUACGGGAGGCAGCAGUGGGGAAUUUUGCGCAAUGGGCUAACGCCUGACGCAGCAACGCCGCGUGGAGGAUGACGGUCCUUGGAUCGUAAACUCCUGUCAGCAGGGAAAAAGGGGACCGGGCUCAUACCCCGGUUCAUUGAUUGUACCUGCAGAGGAAGCCCCGGCUAACUCUGUGCCAGCAGCCGCGGUAAUACAGAGGGGGCAAGCGUUAUUCGGAAUUAUUGGGCGUAAAGGGCGCGUAGAGCGGCUCGACAAGUGGAAGGUGAAAUCCCUCGGCUUAACCGAGGAACUGCGCCUCCAAACUG